UUUACGACUUCCCGGUCUUCGGGGCCGGGCGCAGCAAGGGCCAGACUCUGCGCUAGCAGGCGCUGCGCGCCAACCGGCCGGCACCUGUCGCAGAAGGUGCAACCGAUCGCACUGUCGCGCAGAAGCUCCUCAAUGGCCAGCGCCAGCUGCAGCCCCGGCCGCCCACUCGCCUCAUCUGAGCCUGGCUGGCAGCCUGCUAUCAAUUACAUUGAUAGUAAAUUUGAGGACUACCUAAAUGCAGAAUCGCAAGUGAACAGAUGUCAGAUGCCUGGUAACAGGGUGCAGUGUUGUUUAUACUUCAUUGCUCCUUCAGGACAUGGAGACAGAUCUCAUUAUGUUGCCCAGGGUGAUCCUUGAUCUCCUGGCCUCAAGUGAUCCUCCAACCUUGGUCUCCCAAAGUGCUGGGAUUACAGAUGUGAACUACCACACCCAGUCAACGUGCAGAAGGUUUUCAGUUUGAUGUAGUCUGAUGUAGUCUCAUGUAUUUAUCCUUGUUGUUGUUGCCUGAGCUUUUGGUGUGAUAUCCAAAAAUAUCAUUGCCAAGAUCAAUAUCAAGAAACUUUCCCCCUAUGUUUCUUACAGAAAUUUUAUGGUUUCAGAUUUUUCAUCUAUUUUGAGUAUAUUUUUGUGUAUGAUGUAAGAUAAGGGUCCAGUCUCCCCAGUGUUGGAUAUCCAAUUUUCAUAACACCAUUUAUUGAAGAGAUUAUUCUUUCUCCACUGUGUUUUCUUGAUGUCCUUGUCAAAAAUUAGUUGACUUUUAUAUGCUUGGGUUUAUUUCUGGGCUCUAUUCUGUUUCAUUGCUUUACAUCUCUGUUUUCAUGCCAGUGCCACAGUGUUUUGAUUACUAUAGCUUUG
Molecule: long non-coding RNA, 855 nt
Filed under: Homo sapiens (human)
Lineage: Eukaryota; Metazoa; Chordata; Mammalia; Primates; Hominidae
Description: non-protein coding lnc-FBXO28-1:5
Source: RNAcentral